Molecule: long non-coding RNA, 275 nt
Organism: Micropterus salmoides (largemouth bass)
Lineage: Eukaryota; Metazoa; Chordata; Actinopteri; Centrarchiformes; Centrarchidae
Exons: 3
Source: RefSeq, a predicted model, not a curated record
CUGUUCUGACUUUCUGUGUUCUGGUUCUUCUGGUUCUUCUGGUUCUUCUGGUUCUACUGGUGAGACGAUGCCUCCAUAUAAAACCUAAAGCUGCUGAAGUAGAAGCUGGGGAUGAUGACAUCACAGAUGACAUCACAUACAGUGAUGUCAAAAUAUCGCGUCACUUACAGCAGCCAAUCAGACGCAGCAAAGAGAGUGAUCCAGCUGCAGUCUACUCAGCAGUGAGAGGAACAGGAGACGUCAGUUAUGGACAAAUAGCCAUCAAAGACAUCAAA